AAACAACACGAGGGGCGCCGAUUUUGGCUGAGAUGUGAUUCACUCACGGUCCCUUUGAACCUGUAAGGUAAUGCUUGCGAAGGAACGUGUGCAACAGCGGCC
RNAcentral lists this non-coding RNA (102 nucleotides) under Secundilactobacillus kimchicus. Its description in RNAcentral is "Lactobacillus kimchicus TPP sequence". It matches the Rfam family "TPP riboswitch aptamer (THI element)". From Rfam's summary of the family: Vitamin B(1) in its active form thiamin pyrophosphate (TPP) is an essential coenzyme that is synthesised by coupling of pyrimidine and thiazole moieties in bacteria. The previously detected thiamin-regulatory element, thi box was extended, resulting in a new, highly conserved RNA secondary structure, the THI element, which is widely distributed in eubacteria and also occurs in some archaea. RNAcentral also lists the same sequence under 1 other name. The record is from RNAcentral. Lineage: Bacteria; Bacillati; Bacillota; Bacilli; Lactobacillales; Lactobacillaceae.